GUCUCUUCGGGGAUGAUUAAACCGGCGCACGGGUGAGUAACACGUGAGUGACCUGCCUUUUAGACUGGAACAACUUACCGAAAGGUGAGCUAAUGCCGGAUGAGUUAUAUAAGUGCAUGUUUAUAUAGGAAAAGUUGGGGAGACCUGACGCUGAAAGAUGGACUCGCGUCCCAUUAGCUAGUUGGUAGGGUAAUGGCCUACCAAGGCGACGAUGGGUAGCCGGCCUGAGAGGGUGGCCGGCCACACUGGGACUGAGACACGGCCCAGACUCCUACGGGAGGCAGCAGUGGGGAAUUUUGCGCAAUGCUCGUAAGAGUGACGCAGCGACGCCGCGUGAAUGACGAAGGCCUUCGGGUCGUAAAGUUCUUUCGACAGGGAAGAAAAUGCCUAUAAGUAACUGUGUAUGUAUUGACGGUACCUGUAUAAGCAGCCCCGGCUAACUCCGUGCCAGCAGCCGCGGUAAUACGGAGGGGGCGAGCGUUGUUCGGAGUGACUGGGCGUAAAGAGCACGUAGGCGGUGUUGUAAGUCAUUAGUCAAAGACUAGAGCUCAACUUUAGUAAGGCUAGUGAUACUAUAAUACUAGAGUAUCAGAGAGGAUUGCAGAAUUCCUGGUGUAGCGGUGAAAUGCGUAGAUAUCAGGAGGAAUACCGUUAGCGAAGGCGGCAAUCUGGCUGGAAACUGACGCUGAGGUGCGAAAGCGUGGGUAGCAAACAGGAUUAGAUACCCUGGUAGUCCACGCUGUAAACGAUGGAUGCUAGGUGUUGGGCUUUUAAGUUCAGUGCCGCAGCAAACGCGAUAAGCAUCCCGCCUG
This 812-nucleotide ribosomal RNA is filed under the name uncultured bacterium. Its description in RNAcentral is "bacterial SSU rRNA". It matches the Rfam family "Bacterial small subunit ribosomal RNA", at positions 74 to 875 of the family's 1533-position model. The record is from RNAcentral.